This 1829-nucleotide long non-coding RNA is filed under the name Homo sapiens (human). RNAcentral's name for it is "non-protein coding lnc-TEKT4-16:1". The record is from RNAcentral. Lineage: Eukaryota; Metazoa; Chordata; Mammalia; Primates; Hominidae.
GGCCCUACCGGCAGACAGGUGCAGAGGUGAGCCCAGCGUCCCAGCCAUCCCCUGUCCUCGCACCGCACGUGACCAGGCCUGCUGGCCGGUCCUCUCUAUCCCGGGCUACAGGAACCAGAUCACCGGCGCUCCUUGGGAAACGCAGGAUGUGGAAUGUGCAUAAGACCCCAUGAAUUUUGAUGUUAUAGAAGACUAGCCAAUACACACUAAGUGGUCUCGGUGUGAUCCAUCACUCCGCAAAAAUGGAGUGGGCAACAUGUUCAUAAAAAAAUUGGACAAAUCUAUUGAUUAUAAAGCAUUGCAUGAUACAUCUGCUUUUGGUAACAUCCUUUCACAUUAGGUGCUUUGUGGUGAAAACGGUUUCAAGGGUGAUGACAUUGUACAUUUUGACACACAGAAGCAGCUGAAAGAUCUAUUCAAAAAUGAAAUGGGUGCUUCUAAAUGAUAGCAAAGUCUUUGUUGGAUUAAGUCUUGUAAACAAUGAGAGGCAGAACUCAGAGUUAAAAAGUUCACCAAUGUUUACAGGAAGAUUUUUGGAGAAGACAUGGAUGGUAGGUGUCUUAAAGAUCUCUUUGGCAAGUUGGGAUGUGUCUUAAGUGUGAUAGUAGUGGUUAAUGAAAGUGGAAAACCCAAAGGUUUUGGAUUUGUCAGCUUUGAAAGGCAUAAAGAUGCACAGAUGAGAUGAACAGAAAGAAGCUCAAUGGAAAACAAAUUGAUGUUGGUCAAGCUCAGAAAGAAGUAGAAUGGCAGAUGGAACUUGUGUGCAAAUUUGAAAAGAUCAAGCAGUAUAGGAUCACCAGAUAACAAAGUGUUAACAUUUAUGCAAAAAAUCUUGAUGGUAUUGAUGAAUGUCUCUGGAAAGAACUUUCUCCACUUGGUACAAUCACCAAUGCAAAGGUUAUGAAGGAUGGUUGUCACAACAAAGGGUUUGAUUUGUGUAUGUUUCUCCUCUCCAGGGGAAACAACUAAAGCACUUUCAGAAAUGAAUGGUAGAAUUGUGGGCACUGAGCCAUUGUAUAUAGUGUUAACUCCAUGGGAAGAAAAGCAAUGAAGAGCACCAGGCUCAGCUCAUUAACCAGUACAGUAUGUGCAAAGAAUGGCAAGUGUAAAAACUAUGCUCAACCUGGGAAUCAGUCCCUAUCAGCCAGCACCUUCUUCAAUUGACUUCAUGGCAGUUAUCCCACAGACUGAGAGCCAUGCUGCAAAGUAUUCUCCUAGCCAAACUGCUCAACUAAGAUCAAAUCCUCCCUAAAUUGCUCAGGGUGCCAGACCUCAUCCAUUGAAAAAUAUGCCCAAGCCACUCCUAGCUCACUACAUUUAGUAGUAAGAGACCAGCUUCUUCACAGCUUCCACGAGUCAUGUCAACACAGCUGUUGUAACACAUCGACAGAGACAAUAGGAGCACAUUCUGCAGUUGCCGCUACUGCUACUACAGAUACUCCUGCUGUUUGUACCAUUUCACAGUAUAAAUAUGCUAUGGAAGUUCACAAUCCUCAAUGGCAUUUUCAUGCACAGCCCCAGGUUACCAUGCAGCAGCCUGCUGUUCAUGUAGAAGGUCAAGAACCUUUGACUUCCAUGAUGGCAUCUGCUCUUCCUCAAAAGCAAAAGGAAACGAGUGAAUGGCUGUUUCCUCUUCUUGAAGCCAUGCCCUAGUCGUGCUGCUAAAAUCAUUGGCAUGUUGUUGGAGAUUGGUAAUUUAGAACUCCUUCAUAUGCUUGAAUCUCCAGAGCCUCUCUAUACUAAGGUUGACAAAGGUAUAGCUGUACUACGAGACCACCAAGCUAAAGAGGCUGCCCAGAAAGCAGUUAAUGGUGCCACUGGUGUUCCAA